CCUACGGGUGGCUGCAGUGAGGAAUAUUGGUCAAUGGACGAGAGUCUGAACCAGCCAAGUAGCGUGAAGGAUGACUGCCCUAUGGGUUGUAAACUUCUUUUAUAUGGGAAUAAAACGUUCCACGUGUGGGAUUUUGUAUGUACCAUAUGAAUAAGGAUCGGCUAACUCCGUGCCAGCAGCCGCGGUAAUACGGAGGAUCCGAGCGUUAUCCGGAUUUAUUGGGUUUCAAGGGAGCGUAGGUGGAUUGUUAAGUCAGUUGUGAAAGUUUGCGGCUCAACCGUAAAAUUGCAGUUGAAACUGGCAGUCUUGAGUACAGUAGAGGUGGACGGAAUUCGUGGUGUAGCGGUGAAAUGCUUAGAUAUCACGAAGAACUCCGAUUGCGAAGGCAGUUCACUGGACUGCAACUGACACUGAGGCUCGAAAGUGUGGGUAUCAAACAGGAUUAGAUACCCCAGUAGUC
This 460-nucleotide ribosomal RNA is filed under the name uncultured bacterium. RNAcentral describes it as "partial 16S ribosomal RNA". It matches the Rfam family "Bacterial small subunit ribosomal RNA", at positions 338 to 795 of the family's 1533-position model. The record is from RNAcentral.